UGAGGUAGUGGUUUGUGUAGUU
Molecule: microRNA, 22 nt
Filed under: Microcaecilia unicolor
Lineage: Eukaryota; Metazoa; Chordata; Amphibia; Gymnophiona; Siphonopidae
Description: Mun-Let-7-P2c4_5p (mature (guide))
Source: RNAcentral